This 253-nucleotide ribosomal RNA is filed under the name uncultured bacterium. RNAcentral's name for it is "partial 16S ribosomal RNA". It matches the Rfam family "Bacterial small subunit ribosomal RNA", at positions 524 to 776 of the family's 1533-position model. The record is from RNAcentral.
CACGGGGGGAGCAAGCGUUGUUCGGAAUCACUGGGCGUAAAGCGCACGUAGGCGGCUUUCUAAGUCAGGGGUGAAAUCCUGGAGCUCAACUCCAGAACUGCCUUUGAUACUGAAGAUCUUGAGUUCGGGAGAGGUGAGUGGAACUGCGAGUGUAGAGGUGAAAUUCGUAGAUAUUCGCAAGAACACCCGUGGCGAAGGCGGUUCUCUGGGACGGUACUGACGCUGAGACGCGAAAGCGUGGGGAGCGAACAGG